GGAGUUAGCCGGUGCUUCUUCUGUGAGUGAUGUCCUUCCUGCCGGCUAUUAACCCGCAGGCCUUCUUCCUCACUGAAAGUGCUUUACAACCCGAAGGCCUUCUUCACACACGCGGCAUGGCUGGAUCAGGGUUGCCCCCAUUGUCCAAUAUUCCCCACUGCUGCCUCCCGUAGGAGUCUGGGCCGUGUCUCAGUCCCAGUGUGGCUGAUCAUCCUCUCAGACCAGCUACGGAUCGUCGCCUUGGUGAGCCGUUACCUCACCAACCAGCUAAUCCGACAUAGGCUCAUCCGAUAGCGCGAGGCCCGAAGGUCCCCCGCUUUCCCCCGUAGGGCGUAUGCGGUAUUAGCCUGGGGUUUCCCCAGGGUUAUCCCCCACUACCGGGCAGAUUCCUAUGCAUUACUCACCCGUCCGCCGCUCGCCACCAGGGAGCAAGCUCCCCGUGCUGCCGCUCGACUUGCAUGUGUUAGGCCUGCCGCCAGCGUUCAAUCUGAACCAAGAUCAAAUUCUGA
Molecule: ribosomal RNA, 509 nt
Filed under: uncultured bacterium
Lineage: Bacteria
Description: partial 16S ribosomal RNA
Source: RNAcentral